GCGGGGGUAGCUCAGUGGUAGAGCAUCGGCCUUCCAAGCCGAAAACGGCAAAUUCCAAAAGUA
RNAcentral lists this transfer RNA (63 nucleotides) under Candidatus Aerophobota bacterium. RNAcentral describes it as "Candidatus Aerophobetes bacterium tRNA-Gly". It matches the Rfam family "tRNA", at positions 1 to 53 of the family's 71-position model. Rfam says of the family: Transfer RNA (tRNA) molecules are approximately 80 nucleotides in length. Their secondary structure includes four short double-helical elements and three loops (D, anti-codon, and T loops). The record is from RNAcentral. Lineage: Bacteria; Candidatus Aerophobota.